AGCCGUUAUCCAGAAAUACAUAAGCUUUGGCUAUAAUACCUGAAAGAAGAAACACAUAAGCUCCACUGACUAAAACUGUAGUGAUAAGAGAACAGAGCAUCAUUCUUCAAGCAGCAGCGAAUUUGAAAGCGAUGAACCAGAAGAAGAAGGUGAGCCGCUGAUGUCAAUCGACCAGUGAUCACUGAAACAUCUUCAAUAGAAGAAGACGUUAAAGAAGGUGAGCUAUGGGACGAACUGGACCAAGAGCUGAUUCGACAGGAGAAUAAAAGAGCCAGCGGAGCCAUGGAAGAAGAAGCAGCAGCAAAUGAGAUAAUAAAG
RNAcentral lists this long non-coding RNA (318 nucleotides) under Brassica rapa (field mustard). RNAcentral describes it as "long non-coding RNA (BRAP_LNC006569)". Lineage: Eukaryota; Viridiplantae; Streptophyta; Magnoliopsida; Brassicales; Brassicaceae. The record is from RNAcentral.